GGAUUAGAUACCCUGGUAGUCCACGCCGUAAACGAUGUGUGCUAGUUGUCAGACCCUUGAGGUUUGGUGACGGAGCGAAAGUAUUAAGCACACCGCCUGGGGAGUACGGCCGCAAGGUUAAAACUCAAAGGAAUUGACGGGGACCCGCACAAGCGGUGGAGCAUGUUGUUUAAUUCGAAGCAACGCGAAGAACCUUACCUACACUUGACAUCCUUCUUGGGACUUUCAGAGAUGAUUGUCUUCGGUUCGGCCGGGGAAGUGACAGGUGCUGCAUGGCUGUCGUCAGCUCGUGCCG
This 295-nucleotide ribosomal RNA is filed under the name uncultured bacterium. RNAcentral's name for it is "partial 16S ribosomal RNA". It matches the Rfam family "Bacterial small subunit ribosomal RNA", at positions 775 to 1067 of the family's 1533-position model. The record is from RNAcentral.